GACGAACGCUGGCGGCGUGCUUAACACAUGCAAGUCGAACGGAAAGGCCCUGCUUUUGUGGGGUGCUCGAGUGGCGAACGGGUGAGUAACACGUGAGUAACCUGCCCUUGACUUUGGGAUAACUUCAGGAAACUGGGGCUAAUACCGGAUAGGAGCUCCUGCUGCAUGGUGGGGGUUGGAAAGUUUCGGCGGUUGGGGAUGGACUCGCGGCUUAUCAGCUUGUUGGUGGGGUAGUGGCUUACCAAGGCUUUGACGGGUAGCCGGCCUGAGAGGGUGACCGGCCACAUUGGGACUGAGAUACGGCCCAGACUCCUACGGGAGGCAGCAGGGGGGAAUAUUGCACAAUGGGCGGAAGCCUGAUGCAGCAACGCCGCGGGCGGGAUGACGGCCUUCGGGUUGUAAACCGCUUUCGCCUGUGACGAAGCGUGAGUGACGGUAAUGGGUAAAGAAGCACCGGCUAACUACGUG
This 468-nucleotide ribosomal RNA is filed under the name uncultured bacterium. RNAcentral describes it as "partial 16S ribosomal RNA". It matches the Rfam family "Bacterial small subunit ribosomal RNA", at positions 28 to 507 of the family's 1533-position model. The record is from RNAcentral.